RNAcentral lists this transfer RNA (55 nucleotides) under Ovis aries (sheep). It matches the Rfam family "tRNA", at positions 9 to 63 of the family's 71-position model. Rfam says of the family: Transfer RNA (tRNA) molecules are approximately 80 nucleotides in length. Their secondary structure includes four short double-helical elements and three loops (D, anti-codon, and T loops). Lineage: Eukaryota; Metazoa; Chordata; Mammalia; Artiodactyla; Bovidae. The record is from Rfam by way of RNAcentral.
GGCUCAGUGGUAAAGAGUCUGCCUGCCAAGCAGGAGACCCAGGUUCGAUCCCUGG